This 215-nucleotide ribosomal RNA is filed under the name Serratia marcescens. RNAcentral's name for it is "partial 16S ribosomal RNA". It matches the Rfam family "Bacterial small subunit ribosomal RNA", at positions 1 to 214 of the family's 1533-position model. Lineage: Bacteria; Pseudomonadati; Pseudomonadota; Gammaproteobacteria; Enterobacterales; Yersiniaceae. The record is from RNAcentral.
UUAAUUGAAGAGUUUGAUCAUGGCUCAGAUUGAACGCUGGCGGCAGGCUUAACACAUGCAAGUCGAGCGGUAGCACAGGGGAGCUUGCUCCCUGGGUGACGAGCGGCGGACGGGUGAGUAAUGUCUGGGAAACUGCCUGAUGGAGGGGGAUAACUACUGGAAACGGUAGCUAAUACCGCAUAACGUCGCAAGACCAAAGAGGGGGACCUUCGGGC